AUUUUGACCGUGCAAAGGUAGCAUAAUCAUUAGUUUCUUAAUUAGAGGCUUGAAUGAAUGGUUUGACGAGAAAUUAACUGUCUCUUAAUAAUUUUUAGAAUUUAACUUUUAAGUUAAAAGGCUUAAAUUUUCUUUUAGGACGAGAAGACCCUAUAGAGCUUUACAUUUAUAAAUUUUUAUAUUAUUUUAGAUUAUUUUUAAUUAAACAUUUUUGAUGUUUGGUUGGGGUGACUUGAAGAAUAAAUAAACUCUUCAUUAUUAAAUCAUUAAUUUAUGUUUAUUUGAUCCAUAAUUUAUGAUCAUAAGAUUAAGUUACCUUAGGGAUAACAGCGUAA
This 335-nucleotide ribosomal RNA is filed under the name Tomonotus ferruginosus. Its description in RNAcentral is "partial 16S ribosomal RNA". The record is from RNAcentral. Lineage: Eukaryota; Metazoa; Arthropoda; Insecta; Orthoptera; Acrididae.